GCCUAUGGGUUGUAAACCUCUUUUUUCAGGGAGGAAUCAAUGACGUGUACCUGAAGAAUAAGCAUCGGCUAACUCCGUGCCAGCAGCCGCGGUAAGACGGAGGAUGCAAGUGUUAUCCGGAAUCACUGGGCGUAAAGCGUCUGUAGGUGGUUGAACAAGUCAACUGUUAAAUCUUGAGGCUCAACUUCAAAAUCGCAGUCGAAACUGUUUGACUAGAGUAUAGUAGGGGUAAAGGGAAUUUCCAGUGGAGCGGUGAAAUGCGUAGAUAUUGGAAAGAACACCGAUGGCGAAGGCACUUUACUGGGCUAUUACUGACACUCAGAGACGAAAGCUAGGGUAGCAAAUGGGAUUAGAUACCCCAGUAGUCCUAGCCGUAAACAAUGGAUACUAGAUGUUGAACAGAUCGACCUGUGCAGUAUCAAAGCUAACGCGUUAAGUAUCC
This 442-nucleotide ribosomal RNA is filed under the name uncultured diatom. RNAcentral's name for it is "bacterial SSU rRNA". It matches the Rfam family "Bacterial small subunit ribosomal RNA", at positions 414 to 869 of the family's 1533-position model. Lineage: Eukaryota; Bacillariophyta. The record is from RNAcentral.